This 488-nucleotide ribosomal RNA is filed under the name uncultured bacterium. RNAcentral's name for it is "partial 16S ribosomal RNA". It matches the Rfam family "Bacterial small subunit ribosomal RNA", at positions 30 to 507 of the family's 1533-position model. The record is from RNAcentral.
AUUGAACGCUGGCGGCAUGCUUUACACAUGCAAGUCGAACGGCAGCACAGGGAGCUUGCUCCUGGGUGGCGAGUGGCGAACGGGUGAGUAAUGUAUCGGAACGUGCCUGGUAGUGGGGGAUAACUACUCGGAAGAGUGGCUAAUACCGCAUGAGAUCUUUGGAUGAAAGCGGGGGACCUUCGGGCCUCGUGCUACUGGAGCGGCCGAUAUCAGAUUAGGUUGUUGGUGGGGUAAAGGCCUACCAAGCCUGCGAUCUGUAGCUGGUCUGAGAGGACGACCAGCCACACUGGGACUGAGACACGGCCCAGACUCCUACGGGAGGCAGCAGUGGGGAAUUUUGGACAAUGGGCGCAAGCCUGAUCCAGCAAUGCCGCGUGCAGGACGAAGGCCUUCGGGUUGUAAACUGCUUUUGUACAGAACGAAAAGUCUCUGGCUAAUAUCUAGAGAUCAUGACGGUACUGUAAGAAUAAGCACCGGCUAACUACGUG